Serinus canaria (Common canary) is the source of this 1951-nucleotide long non-coding RNA. RefSeq lists it as uncharacterized. NCBI's taxonomy places the organism in Eukaryota, Metazoa, Chordata, Aves, Passeriformes, Fringillidae. The transcript is spliced from 2 exons. The record is from RefSeq and is a predicted model, not a curated record.
GUGCAGCCGGAGAGGCGGCGGGGGAAGAGGACGAGGUGGAAGAAGCUGCGCGUGGAGCAGCGGUGGCAGCGGCCCCUUCCCGGGGUGCGGCGGGGACGGAGCCCGCGGGUGUCCGACCGCGGUGUCCCCCGUGUCCCCACGUGCAGGCUCCUCCGUGUUGCUCUCUGAAAGCAUUUCAAACUCGACACACAGAAGCUGUUUCUCAGUGAGCAGCUGUGGGGUAUUUGGCUGAUGGUUUUGACAGCAGAGAUGAAUUGAGGACGUGGCAUCUGCAGUCCUGACCUGGAAUUUGAACCCUUUAGUGCCUCUCCCUCCUCCCAGACGGAGAGGAGGCAGAAGAUCUCGGAAUCUUCUGAUUGCCAUCGAUCUGAUUUUGCUGAGCACUAGCCUCCUAUCACGUCUGUGUGUUCCUUGAGAGAUUAUUUCAAUCUGAAAAAAAACUCUAUAAGUAUCUUGAGAGCUGGAAAUCAGAUGAUCUGAUCUAACAUUUCUCCAGCAUUUAACAAUUACCUCUACAACAAGCACCUCAUUUAAAAAAAAACCCAAAACAUGAAGCAUAAGGAAAACCAUGAGAUAACAUUGCUGGUUUUGAGCCCUCACUUACAUGAUUUUCCUUUCUGAUAUUUUUGGAGGGAAGAGGGAAUUGGAUCAUAUUUUUAUCUUCUUUUUUUUUUUUCCCCACAUCUGUAAAGACUAGACAUUUCUUUAACAGAGGGGAAAAUAAAAUAAAUUGAGAUUUCCAGGUGGCAACAUGGCUGAAAGAAAACAUGAAUACUUGGAAAUUCAUGCUCAUUAGUACUGCCACAGAUGUGACUCUGUAGAGCUGAAGCUAACCAGUACCAGGGUAUAGGGAUGAGAACUGCACAUAAUUGAAGCCCUGCUUAAUUGAAAGCAAUUCUUGUCACAGACAGUGAUGGAGCAUCCUUGGGUGGAUCUACAUGUGUCCCUGUGGAUGUGUGCCCCAGGCCCUGCUGCCUGUGCUGGGGUGAGGCUCUGUGGGCGCAGGCAAGGGGUAGAAAAGUGGCUUUGCCAAGGAAGCCAAGCCAAGAGGAGCAGUGAGCCACCUCUGCACUGCAGCUUCAGGGGUGCUGCUGCACCCAGCACUCACCUGCCCCCUGCUUCUCCAGGGGUCCACGCUUGGAACAGCUGCUGGAAGGGAAUCAGGGCAUCAGGAAGGAAAUCCUGUGCACACAGGGGAAUGUCCUUUUUAUGCAGGAUCAUAAACAAAACCCUGCAAGAGUAGUGAUGGAUCCAGCAGCCCUGGGGAGGCCCCAUACUGCUGGAACCACCAGCUUCAUGGAACAUUUUCCUGGAAUCCAAUACUGGUUUUCUAGACUUAAAAACUGAUCACAUUCCCUUUUCUCCCUCCCUCCCAAAGGCAUUUUUUGUCAUCUGUGUCCAAAACUUCCAGGAGAAACUCCAUGAUUGGAGCAAUUUGGUCCAAUGCCAUGAGAAGGGACUGCUCCACACACUUUAGGAAGAGCAAAAAGGAGAAAGAAAAGAAGGUAAAGCCUUCUUUACCUCUGUUCUGUGCCUGACCACUCAUCAAAGCCAGCUGCCUCCUGUGCUGGCUUGAGGAAGUGACAGAUGUCUGUAGCCUUUACAGGUGCAGGGCCUGCAUUUCAUCAGUCUUUUUUCCAUGGAUGACCUGGAGUGUGGAUUAUUAGCAGCUCAGAUUUCUUUGGCCAAGGUGCUUUGUUGUGUACACAUCCGGGUUAAAGCCAAGCAAUAUUUCUGAUCCAUGUAGGCUUCUGACUCGGUCCUGCAUCUUUGGUGUUUACAAAAUGAUCAGAGCUUGAACUCUCCCUGUUCUGUUUCUUAAAUGUCAGCAGAUUUUUUUUUUUUUUAAUAAAACAAUGCAGCCUUCCCCUGCAAUGUUUGUAACCAAGAAACUGUGGCAUCACAAGAGCAUGAGGAAAUACUGGCUGAUUAAAACCAGUGUAAGAAAUGA